AUACACAUGGCUAUAAUGUGUUAUGCCUUUUUCUAAAUAUUUAUAGCCAUGAUUAUAAUGCUUUAUGAAUGCAUUGUAAUCCAUUAUGAACGUGUUUAUAAAUUGCUGAAACCAUGGCCUUAAGUAAAGCAUUACCCCAUUUUUAAACUAUUAUUGUAAAUUCAAUAAACAGAAGUUUAAAAAAUGCGUGGGGAAAAAGAUCACAUCCUAAUGUAAACGUUAAAGCUUCAAAACAAGCAUUUAUUCCUGGAUCGGUGACUCAAGCUCAGCGCUAAGAGCAAUAUCCCAUGUGCAAUUAAAAUGGCUGAGAUUAACAUGAAUCUGUUAAGCACUUGGAAUUUUCUGGAUAACCAACUCGCUGAGUCAGCAAAGUGUAUUGGUGUGAACGUCUGAAUAGAUAAUGGCUUCCACAGAGCUAUGUCUUUUUUUAAAUGUACUUUUAACCAGAUGUGUGCAAUUUGUUGGAAAAAACAAUCCAGAUAUCUUAUGGUAGCUAUUGACAUUUUAUUGACUAAUACACAAAAUAACUUAAAAAUGACAAAACUUUGAUGUUUUCCAGUAUUGUUAUGCUGGCUGAUUAAUAGUGCUUAAAUGGGAUGGCACAGCUUAGAAAUCAAGCUAAGUCAAUUGUUUGGGGUUUAUUUCGAGAAAGAAGCUUUAUAGUGAAGCUGAAGAUGACAUUUAUACACUGCAGUAAAGUGAACAUGAACAUAGCCGACAUGUCAAUAAAGCGAUUCUGUCAGUGACUCACACCUUUGAAGCUCUGUUCUGACAGGUAGCCAGAUACGACAAUCCCAGGGUGUGACUUAGCGAGCUGCGGCUGCAGCUAAUGCUACCAUUUGUAAGCGAUGUUCACCUAGGGGGGAAAGAUAUUCGUAAGAGGUGGAGGGAGCGCAGCAGCAUCAGGUUGAAAUUCGCUGGCUCCCAUGAGCUACGUGCACAGACAAAUUUCUUGGAUACGUCGGCAGCAGGUUGAGGGCCUGUGCGGAAUGACUCGCGGGCCAACGACCCAAAGUCGAUGUGCCUCUGACAGAUGCCCGCUGGAACCCCGUCAGCCCGGUCCCCAGACGUACCAUUUCGAGGCUCGCCAGGCAAAGGGCGACCCCCCCAAACCCGUUUUACAGAUUUUUAGCUGCACCUCCCAUCAGGAUAUACAGUUAAAGGGAGAGAGGCGCUCGGCAGCAAGGUGUGAGUCAUCGCACCGGAACGGGCCGGUUAUUCCUGCUGCGUCGCUUCCUUCGCCCCCUCACCGGUGCGCUGAGCAAACGGCGGGGAGACGCCGACCUCCGGCUCCGGUCACCACGGCGAUUAUAAUCUCCUGCACGGAUAACGGAGGAUGCGGCUGGAAGAUUCCACAGGAGCGCAAUAGGUGACAAGACGAUUUGAAGCGGAGCUGGGGGUCCAUGUCUCUUUCUGCGUUUAAUCUUAUACUUAUAUUGCCCUCCUUACACAUCUUCCCUCUGCCCUUGAUACAGGUCUGCCUUGAGUCUUCCCUGCACAUCUUUCCUGUGCUCUACCUACACAUCUUCUCUGUGGUCUACCUACACAUCUUCUCUGUGCCCUACCUACACAUCUUCCCUAUGCUCUACCUACACAUCUUCCCUAUGCUCUACCUACACAUCUUCCCUAUGCUCUACCUACACAUCUUCUCUGUGCCCUACCUACACAUCUUCCCUAUGCUCUACCUACACAUCUUCCUCCCCUUUGUCUUCAAAUGCAGGAUUGCUCAUUUGAAGCCAGACACAAAUCACAGGUUGGAUAUGCUGAAUGUGCACAUCUGAGUGGGCAGUCCCCGGGUUACGAAUGAGAUCCGUUUCUAAGUCUGUCUUUAAGUCAAAUUUGUAAGUAAGCGUCAAUAAAUCAAAGGUUUGUCUUGGUAUAUAGCAUAUAUUUUAUCUUUCUAUGCAUAUAAAACACUUAAUAAGCACUUUCAAACACACUAAAACAUCUUAAACAUAGUGACUCAGUGUAUAAUAAUAAUAAUAUAAUGAAUUAUAUUGUAAUUCAAUUAUAAUAAUUAUAAUAAUUGUAAUGAAUUAUAAUAGUGAUAAUAAAAAAAAUUACAUACAGUACUAUAUUGAUGAGGAGAGAAUUUGUGUAUAUUGUACUGUAAAAGCCAUUAAAGAAACAGAUCCUAAAACAAAGAACAAGGAUCAGAUAUAAUAGGCUUUAUGGCAGUCCAUUCUUAAGUACAAGUUGUCUGUAAGUCGGACCUUCUUCACCCGGGGACCUACUGUAUGUGUUUACUGUCAACUUCCCUGAUGCACAUGGCUGCCUUACCCUUCACAUAAUAUCUCAGCACAGCUAAGGAGGUCAUGUGAGCAGUAAUAGUUGGAAUGGGGACAUCCUGAGAGAAUAACUCUGUCUUUCUUCCUCACGACAAUAAGAAGCCCCUGUCUGACGAACACACGUUCUGCUGCCUCUGAUGUGUUCCUGCUUCUUGGGGAAAAAACAAACGGGAAUCUUGUUGGCCAACUCCCAGAUGCUUUAUACAGCACAAAUGGCUCAACGGCACAGUCGCGGUGUGUGGUAGAUUUUUCAUCAGCAGAAAAGCGGAGAACUUCUGCGAUUUCUUCAUAAUCAACCCCCAUUGCUACCUCCAGCAUCAUCCCCCCCCCUCCCCGGCUGGGCCCGACUGGGGUGCCGAGUUAGUGAGUCAUUCAGGAGAGCCAGUCUCGCACCGAAGGCUGCUCCCUGUGUGGUGAGGUGUCACCGGUAACCAAAGGAGGAAUAUAAGCACAUGUACAAUGGCCGAUAUCCUCGGGCUGGCUUGCAAGCUGACUGCAUGCCAGCCACGUCUUCGGUUCUAGACGUAUUGUCUAAAAUAGUAGCAGACGUUUAUUGUCGCCCAAAACGCCAUGUUUCCUCCGCAGACAUUUUAAUAUUUGAUGGCGUGGCCGUGUGAAGAACUGGGUGACCCAUAUCCAGCCGCUGAAAUUCUUAAAGUGGGGGGCAAGUUUAUGAGAUCACUGAUGAUUUUGUGCCGCUUAAUUACAAGCGACGUUUCCUCUGCCUUAUUUGUUAUUAAACACGUAGAGCUCAUACAGAACCUGGCAGAUAAUGGAUGUAAGAUAAACCCAGUAAGAGAUUGGAUGGGCAGCUGAAGGACUGGAGAGCCAGAUGAAUGUUUCAAAUGCAUGCAAUCUAUUUCUGGAAAGGAGUGAUCCGAUUGAAGGUAAAUGUCCACUGUACCAGCAAUUAUGCAUUCGAUGUUAAUUUUAGCCUGAUAGCAUUCAGUAGGGUACAGACGGGCAUCGCUUAACAAUGGGAAUAUGUCAUAGAGUGUACUAACACAAACAUAGAUGAUACAGUCUAAUACAGUGCAGAAUACAAAAAGUAAAGAAGAGUAAAUACAUAAACCAGUAAAGUAGUUGUUCAUCAUUAUCAAGCAUUAUGUACCGUACAUAACUGUAUGUGCUAUGCUUUUAUACAACUGGCAGUGCAGUAGGUUUGCUUACACCAGCAUCACCACAAACACACGAGUGAUGUGUUGCGUUGUGUCGUUACGACGGCUACGGCGUUACUAGGCAAUAAGCACUUGUCAGGUUCAUUACUGCAUAAUUCUAUUGGACCACCAUCGUAUAUGUGAUCCAUCGCUGAACGAAACAUUAGUAUGGGCGGUAUGACUAUACUUUCCCCAGUUUCGGAUGAUUUUGGAUCAGGCUUUUGGAUGGUUUCAUCUAGGGGGGUGCUAGAGAUUUUUUAGGGCCCCUGUCACUUAGAGGCCCUUGGAAUCAUCCUAAUUCCCUCCCCAUCUCUUUACGGUACCCCUGGUCUCAUCUGUCAUGUCUGUUUUAUCAGUUUUAUCUGUCUGGAAGACAAUUCUUUCUUUUUUUUUUCUUUCUCAAAGAACAUCCCGUUCUGGGUUGGGGUGGGAGAAUGAAUGUGGAUAUAAAGCCUCGUUCCCUUGGACGGGGGACUUCGUCCCAUGAGAGGGGUAAAGCUAACUGCCACAUAAACAGCAGUGACGGGCACGCCUGGCACCUGCCCACUGCUGAGACACUGAGUCCCCCGUAGCCACGUAGCCGUUAGCACCCCAGUCAAGGCCCACGCCGGAGCUGUUCUUUUAAAUUUAAAAAACAAGGGUUAUUGUGCAAGCUUAAGUAGGACAUCAUUGAGAGAUUGGCAGGGAGAGAUGCUUUAACACACGGAAAUCAACUGAAAAACAAUUAGAAACCCUUCAGUAAAGUUAAUUAGAACUAACACAGUUUACGAGGUUAUCCGGUCAGUGAGAGGGUCACAUGACGCAAUGAAAUAGUGAAGUCGUGGUCCCGAAUUUUGCAACUCUUAGUGCGCUGCGCAAUAACAGAAAAGUCAUAUUGUUUGGCUGGGAAUUCCGGUACGUUCUGGGAUAAUGAAAGUCUGUCGGAAUGGAAUCUCUGUCACCCCAGUGAUCUCACCCUUUAUUAAAAUGUGCUGUAGACACCUAAAUCAAGAAGCGGAGCCCAAAAAAUGACUUCCAUGGCCAUUUAAUUUUACUGCUGGGUUAUGCGAUAUAACUACUGGUGCAGAGUGUACAUUACCGUGUGUUUUUAAAACGCGUAGCAAAAAUUAGCAACCUAGUGUCAGAUGUCUCUCACACUCUUAAGAAGAGCUAACUAACAGCAAAGCAUUUUAUUUCUACUUUUGUUUUUCCUAACAAUGUCCCAUGUAAUAUAAAAGCCACUUUUAGCUACUUAAUAUAAUGGAUAGUGCCAUCCCAUCCAGGCUGCCCCCCCCCCAUCCAGGCUGCCCCCCCAUCCAGGCUGCCUCCCCCAUCCAGGGUGUCCCCUGCCUUGUGCCCCGUGUUUCCUGGGAUCGGCCCCAGGCUAACAGUGACCCUGUCCUGGACAAGAUGAAUGGAUGCUUAUUGCAGGCUGUGUGGCUUUGUACCCAGUAUAAAAUAUUCACUACACUUGCGGACUCACAACCACCCUGGAAAAGAAAUAACCAGGAAAAGGCUUUUCACAGAGAGUGCCUGGUUUCCUGCCGACGGCACCCGUGAGAAUGUGAGAAUACACAAUCCCACCUGCCUGCAUUUUAAUGAUGACACUCGACUUAACGUCAGUAACGGGCAUUUAUUACAAAUGAGAAUUUUUUUCUCUUCAAUAUGUAAAAAAUUCUUCUAAAAUGUUAUAAUUAAAAUGUCAUAAUUAAAAUUUCUAAAUUUACCAUUUAAAAAAACUACAAAUUGGAUUCAUAAAAUAUUUUAUGUAAUUAUGCCACCAAAGUCACUUUCUCACACACAUAAAUUAUUGCGUUUGCCUGCCGUUUUAGAAGUAAGCACCGAACUAAUAAAUUUAAACGUGUUGGGAUUCUGUUUCCUAGGGAAAUUUAUGUUUUGUGAUUAUUAUUUUAAUAAUAUGCCAAGUUUUUAUGGACAGAUUUUUUAAGGAUAACUUUGUAACACUAAAGUUUUCCUCAAAGCAAUAAAUACAUGUUGUUAAAUUGUAAGAAAAAUAAAAGGUGUGUUCAUUUUUAUUACGGGUGACUGGAAACCAAUAAAGUAAAGAUAUGAUCCCUUGCCAAAGUCUCUCAGAUGAACAUUGACUGAAAUAAGUUCACUUUAGUCCCACACUCUCCUCCAUUGGCCUGACUGGGUACCCUGUUAUGGGUGAGGCGACCUACCUCAGAGCUCCAACACCACCAUCAGGAACUGACCCCUGAUACUGGACCUCUCUGAUCCCCUCACUGAGAGUCAUAUCCUUUGAAAAAGACCUCAGAGAUAAGUAGGACACCUAGGUUUUGGGGGCUGAAACUUUCUCCCAGUGCAAAAAAUGAAGAUCGCUUUUGUAAUGUAAUGAAAACUGACUAAAUCUGACAAAACAGUACAAGGUGUGCUUUAAUAGUUUUAGUAUUUUUAAGAAUAUGUGCAAUGUAGGGGCAACGGAUACCAACCCCCCGCAAAAUAAACAUAUAAUUUAAAGUCAAUACAUUGAUUUAGAGACAGAACCUCAGGGCAGGCAAGUUUCAGCCGUGUUCACAAUGCAGCUGCCUAGAAAGGGGUUCCCAAGUAUCCCGGCUUGGCAGCGAUCUCCGUACAUGUGAGGGCCACGCCCUGGAGGGCAGCCCCUGCUCGUAACGGCGUAUACGUGUCCCAUGAGCCCGUUCAGCCUACACACGCACCAUACACAAAUGUCAUAUAGAAUAUGCAAACAAUAUGCAGUUCAAGCCAGGAAACCAUGUUGGAUUGUAUGUAAAACUGAAGCAAAUAUUAAUUGUUCUUUUCAAGUAACCCACUAUGAGCCAUUGCUAUAAUUUGGAGGUAGUAGUAAUAAUAAACAUAAUAAUUUCACAUAAUUUAUUUAACGGUCCACAGCAAGCUAUAAGCGAGGGGUUAAGGGCCUUGCUCAAGGUCCCAAUAGUAAAAUCAUUCUAUCAGUGAUGGUACUUGAUCCAGUGAACUUCUGAUCACAAAUCCCCACACGUUGCCUCAAAUAAGAAUAAGAAGAAUAAUGAAGAUGCUGGUUUAGCAGACUCGGCAUUUCGUUCAUUUGUGUGCAUACUCAUAAAAAGACAAUGACCAGAUGGAACAGAGAACGGUCGGGAAAUACAGGAAUCUGUAAUGGCCAAAAAGCAGCAACUGCGAAACAGGAAACCUCCUCCUAAAAGGGGGCUCAGCUAUAUGCUCUGCGUUUGUAACGGUUUCCACAUUGACAUGAAUCAUGUAAUUAAAGCCAGAAAACCAGCUGAGGUUUCAAGCAGAGCAGGCAGCUCUUGUGUGACUCAGCUGUUUUUGAGGCAAGCCCGUGGAGAUGGUCCCCACUGCCAUGGCUCUGUGGCACACAUGAGGCCUACAGCCAGGCAUCGGGGACGGCUUGGGCUGAACCAGCUCUGUAUAGCAGCCAGUGACCUCGGAGGUACUGUUAAAUUAAAGUGCAGGCACACGUUCAGAGAUUCUCACAAGUUUAAAACAAAGACGUUUUAAAUAGCCCUACGAGCGCACGUGAACGUCCCUUUGGUGGAUGCAGGCUGGAUGGUUCUCAAUUAGCCGAAUCCCCUGCUGAUUCAUGGCAGAUGUAAGCGUGCAUCAAAUGAGCAUACAGAUGAGCUUAGCUGUCAUUUACACACCACAGCUGACUGACAGGGAAGCAGAAACAGGAGCAUUAAGGAAGAUGCCCUGCGACGGUCUGGCAGGGCUUCUCACCAAUAAUGCUGAGCCAGGUCACCAGAAACCCCACACUGCAGGAAAAAUCAUUGACAUCAUUUGUAUAGGCGGAUUAAUAUAGAUUACAUUUAAGGGUUUAAUAUCAAAUGUAACCAUAAUUCAUUGUUAUUAUAUUUUAUAUUAUUGUAGAUGCCGCUGUAACAAUGCAAGUUUCCCAACUGUGGGAUUAGUAAAGGUUGUUUUAUGUUAUACAUACAAGGUAUUAUAAUAAUUUAUAUAUAUAUAUAUAUAUAUAUAUAUAUACACACACACACACACAGAGUUGUGUCUAUAAAAAACUGUGUGUAAAAAUAUCUAUGAUGUUCAGAUUCUUGGGGAAUUUCAGCUAUUUGUAUUGGCAAAAGGGGCAAUAAAAUCACAAUGAAUAGCAUUCUUUUUCACGGACUUAUAAAUCAGUACUGGAAACUUGGUGAAAGUCUGUAUGAAAUAACAGUGAGUUUGGGGAACUAUUAGCAGUUGCUAUGGAAAUGAACUUAUUAAGUGAAACCCCAAAGUCUGACUCUGGCAGUAAGUCCUCCAGCUAAUCACUUAAGCUCCCUUCAAAGGCUUCGCGGUGCCGCUCAAGACAGUGUCUGUGAAACACGGGGGUUUCCCGGGUCAGGAAGACGGUCGUUUUGAGGAAUGAAGCCCGGCCCACGGUGCCGAUCGCUCUGGUGGAGCUGCUGAUCAGAACCACAUGUAAAGUCCCGGCAGCCAAAGGGAAUUAGCGCAUAUCAACAUUUGGAGAACGAAUGCGGAGCAAUGCGCGACUGGAUACUCCAUAUGUGAUGAAUAACGCGCAGAUCGCCCGCCGUUUAAUUUUCCAUCGUAAGCCUUGAGUAGCCGGAUGGAGGGAUUGAUGCUGCUGUAAGAGGCACAAACACGGCUGGACACACGCACAGACUGUACCACAGCUCGACUACGUGUCUGAUAAGCAAUGCACAUGAAUCUUGUAGUAAUAUUACAAAUAUAUAAUAUGGCAAAAGUAAUUUACUGUUCAGUAUAAAUAAGUAUUCAACUGUAACUUCUGCAGAACGUAGGUUAUUUGUGUGUGAAAUAUUAAAAUCCAUAUUAAUAUUGGAUUACAAUAAUAUUGCAUAAAAAAUAGAACCUUAAUUUACGAUAAAGUUCCUACAAGGACUCCUACAAAAAUGCAUCACAAUUAGAUAUAUAUGUGCAAUAACAUCAUAAUAUAAAUAAAAACCCUUGCAAGUUAUUAUGUCAGAGUAAAAUAGCUUUCUGGCCUCGUGACUUAAUUUGUCAAAAUAGCAAAUGUCAGUUCUUCAGAGAAGGGUUACUCCCUACAAUGAUGGCCACCAGGUUUUACCCUCACAGCGGUAGAUCAUGUUUGUACAUGUCCUGCGCUGGGUUACAGCUGACCUGUCUGUCCUGUGACUGUCAUUGUGCUUUAUUCCUCUGUCAGGCCCACAUUUGGAUUGAAACUCUAUUCCUGACACUCCUUCAAUUUACCCGAGGCCCAGUUAAAGGGUUUAAAAUAAAGACACUACAAAAUAGUGGAAAGAUUGAUAAAAUGCAGGCUAAUAAUUGAUAUUAAAAUGUAUGUUUAAGUUCCAUUAAACUGCUUGCAUUGCUAAGACACUGAAAGAUGCUCGGGGUAUUUUGGGGGGAUGGUCUUGGGGUUGCGGGAUAUUGAAUGAGACUAAGGAGCAGACUAGAUACACUUCAUCAAACCAGGACCCGAGCACUUGGCUCUGUGGGCCAAGGGCAACGCCUGGGGCAGAAAGAUCCGGUGAUGACUCAGCUUCCAAACGGGCUGGGAGAGUGGGCUCGCGGCGGCGCAGAUAACAGCCUUAUCGCACCUGUCCAGCCAGCUGUCCACGUUCUGAUGACUCAGUCGACCUCUCAGGGGCGUGGCCCGCGGACACCGGAGCAGGUCCCCGCAAGGGUGCCUGCAGGGCUCAUCAAAAUUCGGGAGGCCGCGUGCCAGCGGGACAGCUGAGGAUUCCGCUCGUAGACCGUCGCCGUAAAAGAAGCUUCGCACUCAUCCGCUUCACUCCGGCUGUUUCACCAAUAGAUAUGAUCAUACACUCAGGCCCGUGGAUCAGGCAUCUUUCCAAACGAAGCAGCUGCGAAAACAGAGAACUGGCAUCGGAGUUGACUGCAAGAUAUACGGCAGCUCAGGAUCCGGUGGCGGAGACGCAGCCCAGGACAGUGUUUCUGUGCAUUGAGAAGAGCCAGCUGAGGUGGAUCUGCUACUGGAUUCUCAGCACAUCUUGCCAAGCUGAAAUCCCAUUUUGGAGGGAUAUUACACCUCAUCUGGGAGGACCUUGGAUUUCCCCACGAGAAGCUGGAAUCACUCAGCAGGGGGAAGCACGGUUUGGUCUAGCAGAUGCUGUCUACUUUUAUCAGAGGCUGCAAUAAAAAUACUGGUGUAAUGCG
This is a non-coding RNA of Paramormyrops kingsleyae, 9526 nucleotides long. The record is from RefSeq and is a predicted model, not a curated record. NCBI's taxonomy places the organism in Eukaryota, Metazoa, Chordata, Actinopteri, Osteoglossiformes, Mormyridae.